CCUACGGGGGGCAGCAGUCGAGAAUCAUUCACAAUGGGGGAAACCCUGAUGGUGCGACGCCGCGUGGGGGAAUGAAGGUCUUCGGAUUGUAAACCCCUGUCAUGUGGGAGCAAAUUAAAAAGAUAGUACCACAAGAGGAAGAGACGGCUAACUCUGUGCCAGCAGCCGCGGUAAUACAGAGGUCUCAAGCGUUGUUCGGAAUCACUGGGCGUAAAGGGUGCGUAGGCUGUUUCGUAAGUCGGGUGUGAAAGGCGCGGGCUCAACCCGCGGACGGCACAUGAUACUGCGAGACUAGAGUAAUGGAGGGGGAACCGGAAUUCUCGGUGUAGCAGUGAAAUGCGUAGAUAUCGAGAGGAACACUCGUGGCGAAGGCGGGUUCCUGGACAUUAACUGACGCUGAGGCACGAAGGCCAGGGGAGCGAAAGGGAUUAGAUACCCGUGUAGUC
Molecule: ribosomal RNA, 446 nt
Filed under: uncultured bacterium
Lineage: Bacteria
Description: partial 16S ribosomal RNA
Rfam family: Bacterial small subunit ribosomal RNA
Source: RNAcentral